This is a long non-coding RNA of Danio rerio (zebrafish), 2453 nucleotides long. Lineage: Eukaryota; Metazoa; Chordata; Actinopteri; Cypriniformes; Danionidae. The record is from Ensembl.
GUGAAAGUUGCUGGUAUAUUUAAAGGGAUAGUUCGCCCAAAUAUAUUAAUUGUCAUUUAUCACUUGUUCCAAAUCUGUGUGACUUUCUGUCCUCUGUCAAACACAAAAGAAUAUAUAUUUUAAAAGCUGAAAUCCUGUAAUCAUUGACUUGUACAGUAUUUGUUUUUCCUACUAUAGGACUAAUGUUUUUUUCCGAUUUAUUGAAACAUAUUUUCUCUUUUGUUCAACAGAAGGUAUCAUAUAUGGCAUAAGGGGUUUGAAACUGCUCGAAGGUAAGAAAAUAGUGAGUAAAGUUUAUUUUUGGUGAACUGUCCCUUUAAAAUAUCCUGCCCUCUGUUGUUGUCAAUAUACAGUCAGCGUUGACCAAUCGGAUGCUGUAUUGGCGUUCCAGCGCUGACUGUUUCAUCCAAUCAGCGCAGCGCAAGAGCGCACAACAACCGUCCAUCCAAUAGCGAGGCUCGAAAAUAAUGACAUAGGCAGUUAAAGAAAAGCGCUCGAGCUCAGCGCGCGAAGGCUGACGUUGAAUUCAGUUAGCACCAUCGGGCGGGAGAUGGAUGUGUACGUGUUUGGCACUGUAAAAAUAACAUUAUCAGAUUAAUUUAAUGAGGUUUUGAAUAUUAAGCUUGAGUUAUUUACUUUAUACGUCGUGUCUCGAACGAUUGAUGUGGUUUUGUUUCGAUUAAAAGCGCAAGACUCGACCCACAAAGAUGAGCUCCGUCCUUUCAGAGCGGCCUGUGGAUGUGGUUGAGGGAGGAACAGCUGGGAGCGAUUCAGACAGUGGUGUGGGUUCACCAAUGGAGGAGCCUGUGAUUGACAACAACAAGCGCACUGAGGACCAGCAAGAUUCAGAUGAUGAUAUCGCCGUCAGUCGGAAGGGACGCUCUCGGAAAGCACUGCAGGACAGUGACAGCGACGGAGAGAAGGAAGAGGCAGGAAUGACGAACGCUUUGGUCCUGUCAGAGUCCAGCGAUGAGGAGACGAAAACCAGUGAGAUUGAAAGUGUCAUAAAGAAGAGAGGAAAACGAGUGUCCCGCAUCUCAAUGGAUAGCGAUGAGGAUGAGCAAGAAAAAGCGGAGGAUGCUCAAGUCAAGCCAAAAGAAGGAAAGAAAAAAAGAGAGAAGUCACAAAGACGCAAAGAGAAAGAGAAGCGCAACGUUGCUCUGGUGAAACGGCUGAAGGAAAAAUCUGAGGAUGCUCCCCCAGUCAAAGCUCUGAAUGACAGCGGCUGUCUGCUCGGAGACUCUGACCUGUUUGAUGCUCAGUUAGAGGAAGACUCUGAACAUCAGCUUGAAGAAGAAGAGGAAGAGUCUCUGGAUGCCAUCCGAUCGGCUGUAAAAAAGAAGGCCAAGUAUAAACCUCAUCUGUCUGAGUGCAGUGGAGACGAGGAACAAGAAAACAAGCCACAACGCAAGGAGCGGAAAGCAGCGAAAGCCAGUAAGGAGGCGAUGAAGCAGCUUCACAGUGAGAGUCAGAGACUGGUGCGAGGUCAGUCAGCGGUCACAUCUGAUCUGCAUGCAAUUUUAAUGUUUGAUUUCUGUUUAAAAUAAUUUAGAUUUACACAUCUAGUUUUAAUAUUGCCCUUUAAAAUGUUAUAAAUGCAGUUGAACCAGUCAAAUCUUGCACUACUGUUCAAAAGCUUGGGUCAGUAAGAUAGUUAUGUCCGUUUGUUUCAACAAAAAGAAAAAUAAAUGAACUUAUUCAGCACAAACACAUUUGAUUUAUCUAGAACUUAAAGUUAAAAUUCUGUUAUUUUAUAUUUACCACAUUAUAUGGAAAUAAGUAUCACUUUUCAUACAAGUAUGAAGCACCUUAAAUGUUAAAAACUGUAAAAAAAAAACAACAACAACAAAAAAACUGUAGUCUAUUAUUAUUUAUUAGGCAAAUAACAAACUGACAAGCACAUUAAACUUCUCAGUGUGAAUUUGGCCAUUUAAAUAAUAAAAAAUUAAACAAUGAUAAUAAUAAAAAUAAUUAUGUUAGGCUUUUUUCUAGUCUCUCUUGUACAUUUGAAAAUUCAUAGAUGACAACAAUAGCCUAAUUACUAUUAAAAUUAACUUAACAUGCUUCAGAAUGACCUUUUUAUUGGUCAUUUUUUAUUAAAGAUUAAGAAUAAAAGUUACUUGUAAACUUUAUAUAGUAAAGUAUGAUAAGCAUAAAAUAUUUCAGCAUUGUUAAUGAUAUAAUAAAAUGUUUAAUAAGCAACAUGGUAAUAUUAUAAUAAUGUCUAAUGACUCUUGUGAUGGCUGAAAGAAUCAUUGCUAAAUGUUUAGGAAUAAUUAACUUGGUGUAAAUCCUUUUAAAAUGUAUAUUUAUUGUAAUAUUGGACUUAAGGGUCUGCUAAAUCAGUGUUUCUCAACCAUGUUCUUGGAGGACCAACACUGCAUGGUUUGGAUGUCUCCGUUGUCUGUCGCAGUCAUUACAGGUCUGUCAGUCUCUGCUAAUGAGCUGAGGAU